CAAGUCGAACGAAUCCCGGGGUAGCAAUACCUCGGGGGAAGUGGCGAAAGGGGCAGUAAUACCUGGAUAACCUACCCUGGGGAUGGGCAUAGCCGUUCUAACGAACGGGUAAUACCCAGCGAUUCGGCGGCGGUGGCAUCACCGCUCCGGGAAAUGAGUUUCGCCUCGGGAGGGGUCCAGGCGCUAUCAGCUAGUUGGUGGGGUAACGGCCUACCAAGGCUUAGACGGCUAGCGGGUGUGAGAGCACGACCCGCGCCACUGGCACUGAGACACUGGCCAGACACCUACGGGUGGCUGCAGUCGAGGAUCUUCGUCAAUGGGCGCAAGCCUGAACGAGCGAUGCCGCGUGAGCGAUGAAGGCCUUCGGGUUGUAAAGCUCAAAAGGGGUGAGAAAGGGCAACUUGAUCGAACCCCAGUAAGCUCGGGCUAAGUUCGUGCCAGCAGCCGCGGUAAGACGAACCGAGCGAACGUUGUUCGGAAUCACUGGGCUUAAAGGGCGCGUAGGCGGGUGCUCAAGUCCGGGGUGAAAUCCUCCAGCUCAACUGGAGAACUGCCUCGGAUACUGGGUGUCUCGAGUGUGGUAGGGGUAUGCGGAACUAUCGGUGGAGCGGUGAAAUGCGUUGAUAUCGAUAGGAACUCCGGUGGCGAAGGCGGCAUACUGGACCACUACUGACGCUGAUGCGCGAAAGCCAGGGGAGCAAACGGGAUUAGAUACCCCGGUAGUCCUGGCCCUAAACGAUGGGUACUAGCUAGUAGGGUUCACAUGGCUUUACUGGCGAAGCAAAAGUGCUAAGUACCCCGCCUGGGGAGUAUGGUCGCAAGGCUGAAACUCAAAGGAAUUGACGGGGGCUCACACAAGCGGUGGAGCAUGUGGCUUAAUUCGAGGCUACGCGAAGAACCUUAUCCCAGACUUGACAUGUGC
RNAcentral lists this ribosomal RNA (922 nucleotides) under uncultured Planctomycetota bacterium. RNAcentral describes it as "bacterial SSU rRNA". It matches the Rfam family "Bacterial small subunit ribosomal RNA", at positions 58 to 991 of the family's 1533-position model. The record is from RNAcentral. Lineage: Bacteria; Pseudomonadati; Planctomycetota.